Molecule: ribosomal RNA, 250 nt
Filed under: uncultured bacterium
Lineage: Bacteria
Also listed under: 1 other name
Description: partial 16S ribosomal RNA
Rfam family: Bacterial small subunit ribosomal RNA
Source: RNAcentral
ACGGAAGAUGCGAGCGUUAUCCGGAUUUAUUGGGUUUAAAGGGAGCGUAGGCGGGCUGUUAAGUCAGCGGUCAAAUGUCAGGGCCCAACCUUGGCAUGCCGUUGAUACUGGCGGCCUUGAGUUCACACAAGGAAGGUGGAAUUCGUCGUGUAGCGGUGAAAUGCUUAGAUAUGACGAAGAACUCCGAUUGCGAAGGCAGCCUUCUGGGGUGUUACUGACGCUGAGGCUCGAAAGUGCGGGAAUCAAACAG